UACGGAGGAUGCAAGCGUUAUCCGGGUUUAUUGGGUUUAAAGGGUGCGCAGGUUGUUUGAUAAGUCAGUUGUGAAAGUCUGUCGCUUAACGGUAGGAUUGCCAUUGAUACUGUUGGACUUGAAUAUGGAUGAGGUAGGCGGAAUGUGUAGUGUAGCGGUGAAAUGCAUAGAUAUUACACAGAACACCGAUUGCGAAGGCAGCUUACUAAUCCAUCAUUGACGCUGAGGCACGAAAGCGUGGGGAUCAAACAGGAUUA
This 257-nucleotide ribosomal RNA is filed under the name uncultured prokaryote. RNAcentral describes it as "partial 16S ribosomal RNA". It matches the Rfam family "Bacterial small subunit ribosomal RNA", at positions 524 to 780 of the family's 1533-position model. The record is from RNAcentral.